AACGAACGCUGGCGGCAGGCCUAACACAUGCAAGUCGAGCGCAUCAGGGGCAACUCUGGUGAGCGGCGCACGGGUGAGUAACACGUGAGUAAUCUGCCUUGAUGUCAGGGAUAACCGUCCGAAAGGAUGGCUAAUACCUGAUAAGACCACAGCCCUGAGGGGUGGUGGGAAAAGCGGGGGAUCGCAAGACCUCGCGCACCAAGAUGAGCUCGCGGCCCAUUAGGUAGUUGGAGAGGUAACGGCUCACCAAGCCAGAGAUGGGUAGCUGGUCUGAGAGGACGAUCAGCCACACUGGAACUGAGACACGGUCCAGACUCCUACGGGAGGCAGCAGUGGGGAAUCUUGCGCAAUGGACGAAAGUCUGACGCAGCCAUGCCGCGUGAGUGAUGAAGGCCCUCGGGUCGUAAAGCUCUGUGGAGGGGGACGAAUAAGGGCUGGCUAACGAUCCAGCUUGAUGACGGUACCUCUUUAGCAAGCACCGG
RNAcentral lists this ribosomal RNA (482 nucleotides) under uncultured bacterium. Its description in RNAcentral is "bacterial SSU rRNA". It matches the Rfam family "Bacterial small subunit ribosomal RNA", at positions 29 to 496 of the family's 1533-position model. The record is from RNAcentral.